Molecule: long non-coding RNA, 635 nt
Organism: Manis pentadactyla (Chinese pangolin)
Lineage: Eukaryota; Metazoa; Chordata; Mammalia; Pholidota; Manidae
Exons: 2
Source: RefSeq, a predicted model, not a curated record
UCUCGCACGCUCACACGCUGGCGCUCUGGACACUAACGUUACUUACUCUGCCUCCUGCCUUUGUUUUUAACCCAACACUGUAUCUUGGAGCUUGUUCUGCAUCAGCAAACAGCUGUCUUGUUCUUUUCAAUGGAUUUUGUGCCAAAAUACAUGGAGCCUGCCCCGUGAUGGCCCCGCGGGCUGUUCUCCACUUUCUGCUUUUACAUUCACGGCCCAGUGAGAGCCUGGUCCUUGUGACAUUUCGUGCACAAAUCUGUCCUCAGGGAACAUUUCCAGAAGUGCCCUUGCCCAUUUCCCCACAUCCUCUCCGACCUGGCGGGCCACCAAUUUUUUCUUAAAUCUUUCCCAGGCCAACAGGCGAAACACCGCAUCCCCCCCCUCACAGCUCUGGUUUGCUGUCCAGUACCGAGAGCGAGGCCGGCUUCCCUGGUCCAUCUGCAGGGGGCGUCGUCACGGAAGCCCAAGGCGGCCACUGCCCUCGCUCCAUCUCGCAGGCGGGAAUGCCGCGGCCUCUGGAGACCCCUGAACCCCUGCACACCAGGAAAAGCAGCCUACACACCCAUCGAGCAGGUGGGGAGACGGCGGCCUGUGCGUGGCCGGCUUGGCCGGAGUCUGUGCGCCUGGACCGACAGGUA